This 253-nucleotide ribosomal RNA is filed under the name uncultured bacterium. RNAcentral describes it as "partial 16S ribosomal RNA". It matches the Rfam family "Bacterial small subunit ribosomal RNA", at positions 524 to 776 of the family's 1533-position model. The record is from RNAcentral.
UACGGAGGGUGCAAGCGUUGUUCGGAUUUAUUGGGCGUAAAGGGCGUGUAGGCGGUUUUGUAAGUCUGAUGUGAAAGCCCUGGGCUCAACCUGGGAAGUGCAUUGGAAACUGCAAGACUUGAGUACGGGAGAGGGCAGUGGAAUUCCCAGUGUAGGAGUGAAAUCCGUAGAUAUUGGGAGGAACACCGGUGGCGAAGGCGGCUGCCUGGACCGAUACUGACGCUGAGACGCGAAAGCGUGGGGAGCAAACAGG